AACUUUGUCAGCGAUAACGGUUUCCGAAUCACUGCAAACGUGAAACGGGAUUAAAAGGGAAUCCUGUGAAAAUCAGGGACUAUCCCCGUAGCUGUAAGUUUCAUCUCCCCAUUUAUUCCGGAGAAAAGAUUGUGGCAUUCUUGAGCCACUGGUCCUGUAAAGACCGGGAAGGCGCCACAACGGAAACAAGUCAGAAGACCUGCCGACAUCCACAAACAUUC
Molecule: non-coding RNA, 221 nt
Filed under: Bacteroides intestinalis
Lineage: Bacteria; Pseudomonadati; Bacteroidota; Bacteroidia; Bacteroidales; Bacteroidaceae
Source: RNAcentral